This 85-nucleotide small nuclear RNA is filed under the name Panthera leo (lion). RNAcentral's name for it is "U2 spliceosomal RNA (ENSPLOG00000003128.1)". It matches the Rfam family "U2 spliceosomal RNA", at positions 1 to 131 of the family's 192-position model. Rfam says of the family: U2 is a small nuclear RNA (snRNA) component of the spliceosome (involved in pre-mRNA splicing). The record is from Rfam by way of RNAcentral. Lineage: Eukaryota; Metazoa; Chordata; Mammalia; Carnivora; Felidae.
AUCGCUUCUCGGCCUUUUGGCUAAGAUCAAGUGUAGAAGAUAAACACUUUAAAUGUAUUACAGAAAUUGGAGUCAGUAAAUACUU